UACAUGCAGUCGAGCGGACUGAUGGGAGCUUGCUCCCAUCAGUCAGCGGCGGACGGGUGAGUAACACGUGGGUAACCUGCCUGUAAGACUCGGAUAACUCCGGGAAACCGGGGCUAAUACCGGAUAACUCAUUUCCUCGCAUGAGGAAAUGUUGAAAGGUGGCUUUUAGCUAUCACUUACAGAUGGACCCGCGGCGCAUUAGCUAGUUGGUGAGGUAACGGCUCACCAAGGCGACGAUGCGUAGCCGACCUGAGAGGGUGAUCGGCCACACUGGGACUGAGACACGGCCCAGACUCCUACGGGAGGCAGCAGUAGGGAAUCUUCCGCAAUGGACGAAAGUCUGACGGAGCAACGCCGCGUGAGUGAUGAAGGUUUUCGGAUCGUAAAACUCUGUUGUUAGGGAAGAACAAGUACCGUUCGAAUAGGGCGGUACCUUGACGGUACCUAACCAGAAAGCCACGGCUAACUACGUGCCAGCAGCCGCGGUAAUACGUAGGUGGCAAGCGUUGUCCGGAAUUAUUGGGCGUAAAGCGCGCGCAGGUGGUUUCUUAAGUCUGAUGUGAAAGCCCACGGC
Molecule: ribosomal RNA, 574 nt
Filed under: Bacillus sp. CH69b_2B
Lineage: Bacteria; Bacillati; Bacillota; Bacilli; Caryophanales; Bacillaceae
Description: bacterial SSU rRNA
Rfam family: Bacterial small subunit ribosomal RNA
Source: RNAcentral